Small nucleolar RNA from Octodon degus (degu), 100 nucleotides. RefSeq annotates it as small nucleolar RNA U13. The transcript has a single exon. NCBI's taxonomy places the organism in Eukaryota, Metazoa, Chordata, Mammalia, Rodentia, Octodontidae. The record is from RefSeq and is a predicted model, not a curated record.
AUCCUUCGGUUCAUGAGCAUGAUGAUUGAGUGUUCAUGCUGUAUGCACGAGAGUGCCUCCCUCAAACCUUGCUACAGUGUGGCACGUUAUCUGUUUGAUG